GAUGAACGCUGGCGGCGUGCCUAAUACAUGCAAGUCGAGCGAAUGGAUUAAGAGCUUGCUCUUAUGAAGUUAGCGGCGGACGGGUGAGUAACACGUGGGUAACCUGCCCAUAAGACUGGGAUAACUCCGGGAAACCGGGGCUAAUACCGGAUAACAUUUUGAACCGCAUGGUUCGAAAUUGAAAGGCGACUUAGGCUGUCACUUAUGGAUGGACCCGCGUCGCAUUAGCUAGUUGGUGAGGUAACGGCUCACCAAGGCAACGAUGCGUAGCCGACCUGAGAGGGUGAUCGGCCACACUGGGACUGAGACACGGCCCAGACUCCUACGGGAGGCAGCAGUAGGGAAUCUUCCGCAAUGGACGAAAGUCUGACGGAGCAACGCCGCGUGAGUGAUGAAGGCUUUCGGGUCGUAAAACUCUGUUGUUAGGGAAGAACAAGUGCUAGUUGAAUAAGCUGGCACCUUGACGGUACCUACCAGAAAGCCACGGCUAACUACGUGCCAGCCGCCGCCGUAA
This 514-nucleotide ribosomal RNA is filed under the name uncultured bacterium. RNAcentral describes it as "partial 16S ribosomal RNA". It matches the Rfam family "Bacterial small subunit ribosomal RNA", at positions 28 to 523 of the family's 1533-position model. The record is from RNAcentral.